UGGAGUGUCAACUGAUACGUUUUUCAGUC
This 29-nucleotide non-coding RNA is filed under the name Homo sapiens (human). Lineage: Eukaryota; Metazoa; Chordata; Mammalia; Primates; Hominidae. The record is from RNAcentral.